UGCGAUAGUCCCACCUGAAUCCAUGCCGAACUCAGAAGUGAAAUGUCGUAAUGCCGAUGGUAGUGUGGGGAUUCCCCAUGUGAGAGUAGGUC
RNAcentral lists this ribosomal RNA (92 nucleotides) under Gallibacterium salpingitidis. The record is from RNAcentral. Lineage: Bacteria; Pseudomonadati; Pseudomonadota; Gammaproteobacteria; Pasteurellales; Pasteurellaceae.